AUACGGAGGAUCCGAGCGUUAUCCGGAUUUAUUGGGUUUAAAGGGUGCGCAGGCGGCCAUUUAAGUCAGCGGUUAAAUCGUGGGGCUCAACCCCAUUCUGCCGUUGAUGCUUGGUGGCUUGAUUGCGGUCGAGGUUGGCGGAAUUCGUUGUGUAGCGGUGAAAUGCAUAGAUAUGACGAAGAACACCGAUUGCGUAGGCAGCUGACCAGACCGCAAAUGACGCUCAUGCACGAAAGUGCGGGGAUCGAACAGGAUUAGAUACCCUGGUAGUCCGCACAGUAAACGAUGAAUACUUGUUUUCGGCGAUAUAAUGUCGGAGGCAAAGCGAAAGCGAUAAGUAUUCCACCUGGGGAGUACGCCGGCAACGGUGAAACUCAAAGGAAUUGGCGGGG
RNAcentral lists this ribosomal RNA (392 nucleotides) under uncultured bacterium. Its description in RNAcentral is "partial 16S ribosomal RNA". It matches the Rfam family "Bacterial small subunit ribosomal RNA", at positions 523 to 918 of the family's 1533-position model. The record is from RNAcentral.